This 72-nucleotide transfer RNA is filed under the name Camelus bactrianus (Bactrian camel). It matches the Rfam family "tRNA". From Rfam's summary of the family: Transfer RNA (tRNA) molecules are approximately 80 nucleotides in length. Their secondary structure includes four short double-helical elements and three loops (D, anti-codon, and T loops). The record is from Rfam by way of RNAcentral. RNAcentral also lists the same sequence under 2 other names. Lineage: Eukaryota; Metazoa; Chordata; Mammalia; Artiodactyla; Camelidae.
GAGAAUAUAGCUCAGUGGUAGAAUGUACGCCUCGAAUGCACAAGGUCCUGGGCUCAAUCCCCAGUACUUCCA